Molecule: ribosomal RNA, 544 nt
Filed under: uncultured bacterium
Lineage: Bacteria
Description: bacterial SSU rRNA
Rfam family: Bacterial small subunit ribosomal RNA
Source: RNAcentral
UGGGGAAUUUUGGACAAUGGGCGCAAGCCUGAUCCAGCCAUGCCGCGUGUCUGAAGAAGGCCUUCGGGUUGUAAAGGACUUUUGUCAGGGAAGAAAAGGACAGGGUUAAUACCUCUGUUUGAUGACGGUACCUGAAGAAUAAGCACCGGCUAACUACGUGCCAGCAGCCGCGGUAAUACGUAGGGUGCGAGCGUUAAUCGGAAUUACUGGGCGUAAAGCGAGCGCAGACGGUUACUUAAGCAAGAUGUGAAAUCCCCGGGCUCAACCUGGGAACUGCGUUCUGAACUGGGUGACUAGAGUGUGUCAGAGGGAGGUAGAAUUCCACGUGUAGCAGUGAAAUGCGUAGAGAUGUGGAGGAAUACCGAUGGCGAAGGCAGCCUCCUGGGAUAACACUGACGUUCAUGCUCGAAAGCGUGGGUAGCAAACAGGAUUAGAUACCCUGGUAGUCCACGCCCUAAACGAUGUCAAUUAGCUGUUGGGCAACUUGAUUGCUUAGUAGCGUAGCUCGCGUGAAAUUGACCGCCUGGGGAGUACGGUCGCAAUU